Molecule: ribosomal RNA, 305 nt
Filed under: uncultured bacterium
Lineage: Bacteria
Description: bacterial SSU rRNA
Rfam family: Bacterial small subunit ribosomal RNA
Source: RNAcentral
UCAGCCUACGGGAGGCAGCAGUGAGGAAUAUUGGUCAAUGGGCUAAGGCCUGAACCAGCCAAGUCGCGUGAGGGAAGACGGUCCUAUGGAUUGUAAACCUCUUUUGUCGGGGAGCAACGAGGCCACGUGUGGCCGAAGUGAGAGUACCCGAAGAAAAAGCAUCGGCUAACUCCGUGCCAGCAGCCGCGGUAAUACGGAGGAUGCGAGCGUUAUCCGGAUUUAUUGGGUUUAAAGGGUGCGUAGGCGGGCAUUUAAGCCGGCGGUCAAAUGUCGGGGCUCAACCCCGGCCUGCCGUCGGAACUGGG